AUUGAACGCUGGCGGAAUGCUUUACACAUGCAAGUCGAACGGUAGAGGGGGCAACCCCUCGAGAGUGGCGAACGGGUGAGUAAUAUAUCGGAACGUGCCCAGUCGUGGGGGAUAACGUAGCGAAAGUUACGCUAAUACCGCAUACGAUCUAAGGAUGAAAGCGGGGGAUCGCAAGACCUCGCGCGAUUGGAGCGGCCGAUAUCAGAUGAGGUAGUUGGUGGGGUAAAGGCUCACCAAGCCAACGAUCUGUAGCUGGUCGGAGAGGACGACCGGCCACACUGGAACUGAGACACGGUCCAGACUCCUACGGGAAGCAGCAGUGGGGAAUUUUGGACAAUGGACGCAAGUCUGAUCCAGCCAUUCCGCGUGCAGGAUGAAGGCCCUCGGGUUGUAAACUGCUUUUGUACGGAACGAAAAGGUCUCUCUUAAUACGGGGGACUCAUGACGGUACCGUAAGAAUAAGCACCGGCUAACUACGUGCCAGCAGCCGCAGUAA
This 496-nucleotide ribosomal RNA is filed under the name uncultured bacterium. RNAcentral's name for it is "partial 16S ribosomal RNA". It matches the Rfam family "Bacterial small subunit ribosomal RNA", at positions 30 to 523 of the family's 1533-position model. The record is from RNAcentral.